Molecule: ribosomal RNA, 118 nt
Filed under: Sarcocystis tenella
Lineage: Eukaryota; Apicomplexa; Conoidasida; Eucoccidiorida; Sarcocystidae
Also listed under: 8 other names
Description: partial 5.8S ribosomal RNA
Rfam family: 5.8S ribosomal RNA
About the family: 5.8S ribosomal RNA (5.8S rRNA) is a component of the large subunit of the eukaryotic ribosome. It is transcribed by RNA polymerase I as part of the 45S precursor that also contains 18S and 28S rRNA. Functionally, it is thought that 5.8S rRNA may be involved in ribosome translocation.
Source: RNAcentral
AUUUUCAGCGAUGGAUGUCUUGGCUCGCGCAACGAUGAAGGACGCAGUGAAAUGCGAAACGCAAUGUGAAUUGCAGAAUUCAGGGAAUCAUCAGAUUUCUGAACGCAAAUGGCACCUU